Molecule: ribosomal RNA, 253 nt
Filed under: uncultured bacterium
Lineage: Bacteria
Description: partial 16S ribosomal RNA
Rfam family: Bacterial small subunit ribosomal RNA
Source: RNAcentral
UACGUAGGGGGCAAGCGUUGUCCGGAAUCAUUGGGCGUAAAGCGCGUGUAGGCGGCCCGGUAAGUCCGCUGUGAAAGUCGGGGGCUCAACCCUCGAAUGCCGGUGGAUACUGUCGGGCUAGAGUGCGGAAGAGGCGAGUGGAAUUCCUGGUGUAGCGGUGAAAUGCGCAGAUAUCAGGAGGAACACCAAUUGCGAAGGCAGCUCGCUGGGACGUGACUGAUGCUGAGGCGCGAAAGCGUGGGGAGCAAACAGG